AGCAAAGAAAAGAAAAACAAACAAAAAA
This 28-nucleotide small RNA is filed under the name Arabidopsis thaliana (thale cress). Its description in RNAcentral is "ATSL075370". Lineage: Eukaryota; Viridiplantae; Streptophyta; Magnoliopsida; Brassicales; Brassicaceae. The record is from RNAcentral.